RNAcentral lists this long non-coding RNA (2570 nucleotides) under Sus scrofa (pig). RNAcentral describes it as "lncRNA (ENSSSCG00040041676.1)". The record is from RNAcentral. Lineage: Eukaryota; Metazoa; Chordata; Mammalia; Artiodactyla; Suidae.
GACUUCCAGCUGAGCAAGAACGCCGCUAGCGAUGGCGGUCGGCGGCGUGUCCUGGACGCCAUCUCCCCUACCCCCUUUUUAGGCCGCCCAGCACAAACGCCAAGAAGGAACCAAGAUAACCUAGUGAGGUGGGGUUGACAUGAAUCCUGGAACUGCAUGGCAGGGUGUUUGGAGAUUGUAGCAGGUUAUGGGCCUUUAAGUGACCUCAGUUUCUCCAAAGAGCCCAGACUGGAUGAAGCAUGAAUUUAGCCCAGCAGUAGUCCCACAGUUCUAUGAGAAACUGUUGCCCUCACCACCUGACUUAACUCUGGCCUCUCUGAUAUGCAGUGUAAAGUUGAGGAAAUGCACCUGGAGUACCUCUAACGAGUGCUCAUGAGGGGCUAUCAUCACGAUUAUUAAUUAUUAACAAGAGCCAGGCAGCCUGAAAUGCAGCAUACGCGGACUAAAACGAGCCCUGCUGCCUCCAGCUUUUGAGAGGGAGGAGGAUGAGGUUUGGAAAGAUGCCCUCCAGUGGAAGCAUUUCCUUGGGCCAGUGCUGAAAAGGACCCCUGAGCAGGUCCCUGGAACCAAUGCUGAAGUGGUGGAAACAAAGAGGACUCCCAGAAAACCCAUCCUGCUGCCCUCUGCCCACUACCCCCCCUCAGGGGUGGGGGUGGGGGCUGCUCAGAUGGUGGGAGAUUCCUUCUAUUGAGAACCCCUCUUCCCACCCCAGCCACUUUGCUGUUCUGGGGGAGGGGAAUGGGAGCCACUUUCAUUGUCCCUGAACACUGGCUGGCAGGAGGCCCAGGGAGGGGGGUCCCCAAUAGGGAAUCUGCAGCUGCCUGUCUUUAAGGUAAAAUUACCGUAAUUACUCCAAUUACCAAAUCCAUCAAGAGCGUUGGAUUGAGGAGGCCGGUGAACAAUCAGUUCUGAGGAGUGUGAGUCAUGGGGGUGGGGGCGCAAAGUGCAGGAGGGAGUGGGGCUGAUGUUAGACCAGGCUCUUGAUUAGGGUGGGGGUGGGGAAACACAGAGAAAGCAUAAUUAGCCAAGAUUCCACUUUGCUCCCACAAUGCGAUUUUCCUCCUAUGUUGGAAAUAAUUAUUUUUAAUUUUUUAUGAUUUCAUUUUAUUAUUUUAUUGUCUUUUUAGGGCCCCACCAGUGGCACAUGGAGGUUCCCAGGCUAGGGGUCAAACAGGAGCUGUAGCCGCCGGCCUACGCCACAGCCACAGCAACGCCGGAUCCGAGCCACGUCUGUGACCUACACCACAGCCCACAGCAACCCCGGAUCCUUAACCCACUGAGCAAGGCCAGGCAGCAGACAUGUGUCCUCAUGGUUACUGGUUAGAUUGGUUUCUGCUGAGCCACAAUGGGAACUCUGAAAUAAAUUUUUUAAAAACCCUCUUGCUGGCCACACCCCAAGUCCAGCUGAUGUGGUUCAUCUUUACCCUCUAUGAGAGUUAAAAGUAAACAAAACAAAAAGAACAGCAGCUGGCACCUCUCGUAGGCUCUUGCUCUGGGCCAAGCCCUGUGCAAAGAGCUCUGCAAGUUUCAUCCCUUCCAACACCAUGGAGCAGGUUUAGUCCCAUUUUACAAAUGUGGGCUUCGUGCCUCUCCUCUUGGCUUAGAUGCUCCGGACACAAGACCCUGGGUGUGGUUUGUCUCCGUCCCCCUUGCUCUUGCCUCACCUAGUAAAUCUGGUUCUGGCACAUGCUCAAGAGAUAGUUGGUGAAGGAAAUGAAGUACCAGGCUGGCAGGCUUGGUGGGUUCCUGGGAAAAAUCACCACACUGGCCAGACCCCCUGAAAUCACCUCAUCUCCUCCCUCCUAUGCCUUCUCCAUCCAACCUACAGCCUAGAUAUUGGGGCCUGGAGCUCCUGUGGGGCUCAUGGAGCAUGGAAGAGGACCAUGGCCGCCAGACGUACCCCACUGAGACAGAACAGUGACCCUCAUCACCCAUGAGGAGGCUUCAGCGCUGUGGAGUAGUAUAUGUUUUAUCACUAUUCAAAAUCUAUGCAUAGGGAGUUCCCAGUGUGGCCCAGCAGGUGAAGAAUCCAACUAGUAUACAUGAGGAUGUGGGUUUGAUCCCUGGCCUUCCUCAGUGGGUUAAGGAUCCAGUGUUGCCACAAACUGUGCCAUAGGUAGAAGAUGUGCCUCGGAUCUGGUGUUGCUGGGGCUGUGGUGUAGGCCGGCACUGCAGCUCUGGUUUGACCCCUAGCCUGGGAACUUCCAUAUGCUGCAGGUGCGGCCCUGAAAAGCAAUAUAUAUAUCAAUGCCAUCCAUCCCCAGAACUUUUUCAUCUUCUCAAAGAGAAACUCUGGGCGUUCCCGUUAUGGCUCAGUGGUUAACGAAUCUGACUAGGAACCAUGAGGUUGUGGGUUCGAUCCCUGGCCUUGCUCAGUGGGUUAAGGAUCUGGCAUUGCUGGGAGCUGUGGUGUAGGUCGCAGACAAGGCUCGGAUCCCGCAUUGCUGUGGCUGUGGUGUAGGCCGGCGGCUGCAGCUCCGAUUCGACCCCUAGCCUGGGAACCUCCAUAUGCCGCGGGAGCAGCCUGAGAAAUGGCAAAAAGACAAAAAAAAAGAAAAAAAAAGAAAAAA